Molecule: ribosomal RNA, 861 nt
Filed under: uncultured bacterium
Lineage: Bacteria
Description: bacterial SSU rRNA
Rfam family: Bacterial small subunit ribosomal RNA
Source: RNAcentral
GAUGAACGCUAGCGGCAGGCUUAACACAUGCAAGUCGAGGGGUAGUCUAGCAAUAGAUGAGACCGGCGCACGGGUGCGUAACGCGUAUGCAAUCUACCUUUUACAGAGGGAUAGCCCAGAGAAAUUUGGAUUAAUACCUCAUAGUAUAACGACUCGGCAUCGAGAUGUUAUUAAAGUUCCAACGGUAAAAGAUGAGCAUGCGUCCCAUUAGCUAGUUGGUGUGGUAACGGCACACCAAGGCAACGAUGGGUAGGGGUCCUGAGAGGGAGAUCCCCCACACUGGUACUGAGACACGGACCAGACUCCUACGGGAGGCAGCAGUGAGGAAUAUUGGUCAAUGGGCGCAAGCCUGAACCAGCCAUGCCGCGUGCAGGAUGACGGUCCUAUGGAUUGUAAACUGCUUUUGUACAGGAAGAAACACUCCCUCGUGAGGGAGCUUGACGGUACUGUAAGAAUAAGGAUCGGCUAACUCCGUGCCAGCAGCCGCGGUAAUACGGAGGAUCCAAGCGUUAUCCGGAAUCAUUGGGUUUAAAGGGUCCGUAGGCGGGUUUAUAAGUCAGUGGUGAAAGCCCAUCGCUCAACGAUGGAACGGCCAUUGAUACUGUAGAUCUUGAAUUAUUAGGAAGUAACUAGAAUAUGUAGUGUAGCGGUGAAUGCUUAGAGAUUACAUGGAAUACCAAUUGCGAAGGCAGGUUACUACUAAUGGAUUGACGCUGAUGGACGAAAGCGUGGGUAGCGAACAGGAUUAGAUACCCUGGUAGUCCACGCCGUAAACGAUGGAUACUAGCUGUUCGGAGCAAUCUGAGUGGCUAAGCGAAAGUGAUAAGUAUCCCACCUGGGGAGUACGUUCGCAAGAAUGAA